AUUGAACGCUGGCGGAAUGCUUUACACAUGCAAGUCGAGCGGCAGCGCGGGGGCAACCCUGGCGGCGAGCGGCGAACGGGUGAGUAACACAUCGGAACGUACCCAAUUGAGGGGGAUAGCCCGGCGAAAGCCGGAUUAAUACCGCAUAAGUCCUGAGGGAGAAAGCGGGGGACCGCAAGGCCUCGCGCGAUUGGAGCGGCCGAUGUCGGAUUAGCUAGUUGGUGGGGUAAAGGCUCACCAAGGCGACGAUCCGUAGCUGGUCUGAGAGGAUGAUCAGCCACACUGGGACUGAGACACGGCCCAGACUCCUACGGGUGGCAG
RNAcentral lists this ribosomal RNA (321 nucleotides) under uncultured Pseudomonadota bacterium. RNAcentral describes it as "bacterial SSU rRNA". It matches the Rfam family "Bacterial small subunit ribosomal RNA", at positions 29 to 351 of the family's 1533-position model. Lineage: Bacteria; Pseudomonadati; Pseudomonadota. The record is from RNAcentral.